Heterocephalus glaber (naked mole-rat) is the source of this 623-nucleotide non-coding RNA. Lineage: Eukaryota; Metazoa; Chordata; Mammalia; Rodentia; Bathyergidae. The record is from RefSeq and is a predicted model, not a curated record.
UAAUGACCCAGGUUCUGAGAUCUCACUUCUGUCAGCACUAAUACUGCAUUGGUGGGCAGCUCCUGCCUCUUUUGAGGAUCUCCUGAGGCUACUCACAGCCCAGAGCAGGCCCUGUCCUCUGUCACAGCUGGGGCAGGGGGCAUGCGGGGCCGGACCCUGAACCCUAAGACCAUUUACCCUGUGCUGCCAAGACUCCUCGCCCUCCUGCCCUUGUCCUGUCAGAAGCAGCUUUGCUGCAGAAGCCACAGCCAGGACGUCUCCGUGGACACCAGCCUGUUUCCGGAGAAGCUGAGGAAUGGGGAGCUGCAGGACAGUGGAGACAAGUGGGCGAUGGCUGCAGAUGGGCCAAGCCAGGAGGGGCUCAGUCCCACCUUCGUCCUCCAAGAGACCUCACUGUGACGGGGGGUACGGCCUCUGUCCUCACUGCCAGGAGCUCCCAGCACCCAAAGUCCCCUGUCCCUCCAAGGCCAGAGCCCCUCACUGUGCCUGCCCUGGGCAGAGGGUAGGGCUGUCAUGGCACAGGGACAAGGGGCGGGUGGGAGCUUUCUUGACUAUCCCGAACCUUUCUGGAGCGCAGGUGUUGAAAGUGUUAGGUCUCACAACUCCUUCACACUAUAAAAGCA